This 444-nucleotide ribosomal RNA is filed under the name Salmonella enterica subsp. enterica serovar Anatum. Its description in RNAcentral is "bacterial SSU rRNA". It matches the Rfam family "Bacterial small subunit ribosomal RNA", at positions 337 to 798 of the family's 1533-position model. Lineage: Bacteria; Pseudomonadati; Pseudomonadota; Gammaproteobacteria; Enterobacterales; Enterobacteriaceae. The record is from RNAcentral.
UCCUACGGGUGGCAGCAGUGGGGAAUAUUGCACAAUGGAGGAAACUCUGAUGCAGCGACGCCGCGUGAAGGAAGAAGGUUUUCGGAUUGUAAACCUCUGUCUUAAGGGACGAUAAUGACGGUACCUUAGGAGGAAGCUCCGGCUAACUACGUGCCAGCAGCCGCGGUAAUACGUAGGGAGCGAGCGUUGUCCGGAAUUACUGGGUGUAAAGGGAGUGUAGGCGGGAUGGUAAGUUAGGUGUGAAAUGCGGAGGCUCAACCUCCGAGCUGCACUUAAAACUGCUGUUCUUGAGUGAAGUAGAGGUUGGCGGAAUUCCCAGUGUAGCGGUGAAAUGCGUAGAUAUUGGGAGGAACAUCAGUGGCGAAGGCGGCCAACUGGGCUUUUACUGACGCUGAGGCUCGAAAGCGUGGGGAGCAAACAGGAUUAGAUACCCGAGUAGUCAAC